This 2143-nucleotide ribosomal RNA is filed under the name Escherichia coli. Its description in RNAcentral is "bacterial LSU rRNA". It matches the Rfam family "Bacterial large subunit ribosomal RNA", at positions 823 to 2925 of the family's 2925-position model. The record is from RNAcentral. Lineage: Bacteria; Pseudomonadati; Pseudomonadota; Gammaproteobacteria; Enterobacterales; Enterobacteriaceae.
GAAAGGCCAAUCAAACCGGGAGAUAGCUGGUUCUCCCCGAAAGCUAUUUAGGUAGCGCCUCGUGAAUUCAUCUCCGGGGGUAGAGCACUGUUUCGGCAAGGGGGUCAUCCCGACUUACCAACCCGAUGCAAACUGCGAAUACCGGAGAAUGUUAUCACGGGAGACACACGGCGGGUGCUAACGUCCGUCGUGAAGAGGGAAACAACCCAGACCGCCAGCUAAGGUCCCAAAGUCAUGGUUAAGUGGGAAACGAUGUGGGAAGGCCCAGACAGCCAGGAUGUUGGCUUAGAAGCAGCCAUCAUUUAAAGAAAGCGUAAUAGCUCACUGGUCGAGUCGGCCUGCGCGGAAGAUGUAACGGGGCUAAACCAUGCACCGAAGCUGCGGCAGCGACGCUGAUGCGUUGUUGGGUAGGGGAGCGUUCUGUAAGCCUGCGAAGGUGUGCUGUGAGGCAUGCUGGAGGUAUCAGAAGUGCGAAUGCUGACAUAAGUAACGAUAAAGCGGGUGAAAAGCCCGCUCGCCGGAAGACCAAGGGUUCCUGUCCAACGUUAAUCGGGGCAGGGUGAGUCGACCCCUAAGGCGAGGCCGAAAGGCGUAGUCGAUGGGAAACAGGUUAAUAUUCCUGUACUUGGUGUUACUGCGAAGGGGGGACGGAGAAGGCUAUGUUGGCCGGGCGACGGUUGUCCCGGUUUAAGCGUGUAGGCUGGUUUUCCAGGCAAAUCCGGAAAACUAAGGCUGAGGCGUGAUGACGAGGCACUACGGUGCUGAAGCAACAAAUGCCCUGCUUCCAGGAAAAGCCUCUAAGCAUCAGGUAACAUCAAAUCGUACCCCAAACCGACACAGGUGGUCAGGUAGAGAAUACCAAGGCGCUUGAGAGAACUCGGGUGAAGGAACUAGGCAAAAUGGUGCCGUAACUUCGGGAGAAGGCACGCUGAUAUGUAGGUGAAGUCCCUCGCGGAUGGAGCUGAAAUCAGUCGAAGAUACCAGCUGGCUGCAACUGUUUAUUAAAAACACAGCACUGUGCAAACACGAAAGUGGACGUAUACGGUGUGACGCCUGCCCGGUGCCGGAAGGUUAAUUGAUGGGGUCAGCGCAAGCGAAGCUCUUGAUCGAAGCCCCGGUAAACGGCGGCCGUAACUAUAACGGUCCUAAGGUAGCGAAAUUCCUUGUCGGGUAAGUUCCGACCUGCACGAAUGGCGUAAUGAUGGCCAGGCUGUCUCCACCCGAGACUCAGUGAAAUUGAACUCGCUGUGAAGAUGCAGUGUACCCGCGGCAAGACGGAAAGACCCCGUGAACCUUUACUAUAGCUUGACACUGAACAUUGAGCCUUGAUGUGUAGGAUAGGUGGGAGGCUUUGAAGUGUGGACGCCAGUCUGCAUGGAGCCGGCCUUGAAAUACCACCCUUUAAUGUUUGAUGUUCUAACGUGGACCCGUGAUCCGGGUUGCGGACAGUGUCUGGUGGGUAGUUUGACUGGGGCGGUCUCCUCCUAAAGAGUAACGGAGGAGCACGAAGGUUGGCUAAUCCUGGUCGGACAUCAGGAGGUUAGUGCAAUGGCAUAAGCCAGCUUGACUGCGAGCGUGACGGCGCGAGCAGGUGCGAAAGCAGGUCAUAGUGAUCCGGUGGUUCUGAAUGGAAGGGCCAUCGCUCAACGGAUAAAAGGUACUCCGGGGAUAACAGGCUGAUACCGCCCAAGAGUUCAUAUCGACGGCGGUGUUUGGCACCUCGAUGUCGGCUCAUCACAUCCUGGGGCUGAAGUAGGUCCCAAGGGUAUGGCUGUUCGCCAUUUAAAGUGGUACGCGAGCUGGGUUUAGAACGUCGUGAGACAGUUCGGUCCCUAUCUGCCGUGGGCGCUGGAGAACUGAGGGGGGCUGCUCCUAGUACGAGAGGACCGGAGUGGACGCAUCACUGGUGUUCGGGUUGUCAUGCCAAUGGCACUGCCCGGUAGCUAAAUGCGGAAGAGAUAAGUGCUGAAAGCAUCUAAGCACGAAACUUGCCCCGAGAUGAGUUCUCCCUGACUCCUUGAGAGUCCUGAAGGAACGUUGAAGACGACGACGUUGAUAGGCCGGGUGUGUAAGCGCAGCGAUGCGUUGAGCUAACCGGUACUAAUGAACCGUGAGGCUUAACCUUACAACGCCGAAGGUGUUU